CACAGUCGAUGAUCAUAGGGUU
RNAcentral lists this microRNA (22 nucleotides) under Schmidtea mediterranea. Its description in RNAcentral is "sme-lin-4-3p". Its record names the gene sme-lin-4-3p. Lineage: Eukaryota; Metazoa; Platyhelminthes; Tricladida; Dugesiidae. The record is from miRBase by way of RNAcentral.